Molecule: long non-coding RNA, 907 nt
Filed under: Equus caballus (horse)
Lineage: Eukaryota; Metazoa; Chordata; Mammalia; Perissodactyla; Equidae
Description: lncRNA (ENSECAG00000044898.1)
Source: RNAcentral
CUUAUUCUUUGCAAAGUGUGCUCUUCUGUAUAAGGAGCUCCUGCCCAAAGCAGAUCUACCUGGACCUGGUUGAGCUCCUAGGGAAGUGAUAGCGAGCCUCCCGCCCUUCCUCUCACACCUGGGAUUUGACACCAUGGCCUCACCUGCAUUGUCAUUCCAGAAUGUUCUUGGAGACUCUGAAGUAGGAGCUGGGGAUAGGUCCCUGUCUUUGUUGUGUUGAUGGUCUGUGGAAGAGACAAAGAGGGAAAUGAACAACCAGACUACAGAGUGUGACAACCACCACAUUGAGCUGUCUGAGCACAGUGAAGGGUGACCCUAUCAGAGGCAAAGAAUGUCUAAGAAGGCUCCCUAGAAGAAGCAGCAUCUUCACUGAGGCCCGAAAGCUGAGUUGGAUUGAACUGGGUAAAGGAUGGGUGGAGGGAUGAUGUUCAAGGAUGAUGGAGCUGCCUGUACAAAAGCCCACAGGGAUCCUCGCAUAGAACAGCAGUGAAUGCAGCCACUGGCUGAGCCUGGAAGGCCCAUUAGAUGCCAAUUCUUAGACUUUUUCUUCCCGCAACCAGAAAAUAUGCCCAGGCAUUCUGUUGGUUUUCCCAGGCUCCCCUGAGAUCCCAUAGCCCUGCCCUCUCUUCCUCUGAUGGAAAUGCUGCCAGGGUGGUGUCUGCGGUCUCAUUUCUCACCCCUGCAUCGAGCUGUGGUGGAUGUCUCAGUGCACUCUGCAUGCAUGCUCCCUCCCCCUGUGGCGCUUGAGGAGCGAGCAGCCUGAAACUCAGGCUCCUCAUGGGAGCACAGGGGUUGAUCCUUCUGGGUGGAGGCAGGAGAGAGUGGUGCUGACACCAAGAAAGUCUCCUAAAUACCAAGCUGCCCUACAAAGCAAUGCCACGUGUGUGCUGUCCCUGACUGACUGGAA